CACACUUUCCAUGAUUUGGGGACAAGGCUAGUCAGCCAGCCUACCCUACUUGCUGUUCUCCAAACCAAUUAGAGACCCUGUCUCAUUAAGCGAAGUGGAUGUGGCUGGGAAGAUGGCUCAGCAGUUACAACUGUUACUGUGCUUGUAGAGAACCUGAGUUUGGUUCCCAGCACCAACACUGGGCAGCUCACAUCCACCUGUGACUCCAGCUCCACCUGACACCCUCUUCUGACUGUAGGCAACUGCACUCACCACCACCCCCAGACACACAAGUAUACAUAUAAUUAGGAAAAUAGUAAGUAUAUCUUUAAAAACAAAAAGUGGAUGAGGCUUAGAGAAUGACACCUGGGGUUUUCCUCCAGCCUCCAUGCACACACACAUGUACACACAUACACAUGCACAUACAUGCUUCUUGACACCUAGCCUGGGACCUCCUGCUGUUUGUCAUCUCAGACAACUCAAGAGCUUGAAUAACCCAAAACCCAGCGAGGCGAGCCAGCACCCACAGUAAUAGCACUGGCUACUAGGGCUGGAGGAAGACAUCGUGAUACGUCACUGUUCAGUGCCUCUCCUGUUUGCAUUGUCAUUGCCAUGCAUGAUGCAUACGGACACUUUAUCCAGUCCGUAGCAGGUUCGGUUCAGUUCUGUGGAGGUAGAGGGCGGGUUUGAUCUCUCUCACCCAUGAAAACUCCGGUUGAAAAAGUAAUGUUUGACAGAGGCCCCUGUGCAAACCAUCCCCCAAACCAGCCUGUCCGUCCCCUGCCUGUGGUUGAACUUUUAGGAAUGGACGACUUGUUGUAUGGCUUCUCGAACGAGAUGAAGCAGGCUUACCGUGAACAACUCUUUGCCGUCAGCCACGACCAGCUGACCACUGUGAACAACGAGUGUGGCCGGCGUGGCUUCCUGUGGUACCUGGACAUUGGGAAGAGCACACAUGGCUUGGCUGUACUUGGACCAGAGAACGCGAAAAUUGCCAAGGACCCAUCAUGGAUAAUAAGAUAACAUAUUUCUGGAUACACUGGAGCACACUUGUACCCGUGUAGGCUCCUAAAACCUAAGUCUCUGCACCAAAUUGAAUGUGAAUGACACACAUGUUACUGCUUUUACCAAAAGUCAUUGUUAGGUCAUAUUUAGAAUUUGACUAAAGGUUAUUUAUUGACUAGUAAGUUGGUCAAAGACUCUUCUGUUUUAAGGAAAUAUACAGUGACCGUGAAAAGAUAUAUUAUAAUAAUCAUGCAUUAAAUGUCAAAUUUUGAAACUUUUAGAGUCUAGAACAUAUAUUUUCAAAAUAAAAGUUGACUCUGACCCACCUGUGCUUUAGUCAUUAUUUUAAAUGUUUUGCUACUUUGAAAAUAGUGUGUUCAAAGCUGGGCAUGAUGGCGCACGCCUUUAAUCCCAGCACUCGGGAGGCAGAGGCAGACGGACCUCUGUGAGUUCAAGGCCAGCCUGGUCUACAUAGUGAGUUCCAGGCCCCCUGGGGCUACAGGGAGACCCUG
Molecule: long non-coding RNA, 1496 nt
Filed under: Nannospalax galili (Upper Galilee mountains blind mole rat)
Lineage: Eukaryota; Metazoa; Chordata; Mammalia; Rodentia; Spalacidae
Description: lncRNA (ENSNGAG00000024480.1)
Source: RNAcentral